Molecule: ribosomal RNA, 251 nt
Filed under: uncultured bacterium
Lineage: Bacteria
Description: partial 16S ribosomal RNA
Rfam family: Bacterial small subunit ribosomal RNA
Source: RNAcentral
ACGUAUGGAGCAAGCGUUAUCCGGAUUUACUGGGUGUAAAGGGAGUGUAGGUGGCCAUGCAAGUCAGAAGUGAAAAUCCGGGGCUUAACCCCGGAACUGCUUUUGAAACUGUAAGGCUAGAGUGCAGGAGGGGUGAGUGGAAUUCCUAGUGUAGCGGUGAAAUGCGUAGAUAUUAGGAGGAACACCAGUGGCGAAGGCGGCUCACUGGACUGUAACUGACACUGAGGCUCGAAAGCGUGGGGAGCAAACAG